GUCCUUUUGUUGCUCUCUUCCCCCUUCUCUCUCCUUCAUUCUCGAAACUCUAAAAUCUACAGCAGCUCCUUCUCUCUCCUUUAUUCUUUCACUAUUCUUUCAUCUUCAUCUUCUCCCAGAGAAACCUUAAAAGGCAAAGUUAGUCAGAUAGACCUUAAAUCACUUUUAGGGGGCUACAAUCAAAUGAACAAGAGGCUGAGAGGUAUUGAUUUUGUCAUAAUCGAAAGAAGGAUGAAGGCGCAGUGAUGAACUGGGUUUUGAUAGGAGUUUCAAGGGUAAGUUUUUGAGUGUUCUUUUGCUUAUUGGCUCGAAAGAAAUUACAGCAGAGAGAGAGAGAGGCAGGAAAGAGACACGGCGGCGACGUUUAGGGUUCCGCCGCAAACAAAACGACGGUGACGACUGUGGUUGACGUCGCAAGCUCCGGUUCCGGCAAGAGAUAAGUGGAUGCUAUUGUGGUUAAUAGUCAUGAUAAGAGGAUGCAAUGACUUAUGUGUAUUCCUUUUUGUCACCGUCCCUUCUACCGCCUUACCUAACCUUCUAAUUCGGCCGUUUCGAACCUCCUUCAACCGGGUUUCAGGGUGGUGGUGAAAGCCUGAAUCAACUCUAUAAACGUUGCACAAAUUCAUUGCAAGCGAUUGGCAGUAAACACCAAGGGGAGCGGGUUGUGGUGGUGACUCAUGGUGGUGUGAUCAGAGCACUUCAUGAGUGGGCUUCUUUAGGUACAGGACACCGAGCAGGAAGGAUACUGAACAGUCAAUGUAUUACACUUAUCGGAUCCCGACAAAUAGGUCAUCAAAUCAUGGGGGGAUGUCAGUCAUCUGAAUGGAGCCGGGUACUUAGACUCGGGUUUUGGUGGCGAUCGAACUUCCGGUUAGGCUUUUUCGUACAUGUCCAUUUGUUGACUUGCUAGAUGCAUUUAAUAACCAACAUGUCAAGUCUUUGAUGGGC
Long non-coding RNA from Helianthus annuus (common sunflower), 948 nucleotides. RefSeq lists it as uncharacterized. NCBI's taxonomy places the organism in Eukaryota, Viridiplantae, Streptophyta, Magnoliopsida, Asterales, Asteraceae. The transcript has 3 exons. The record is from RefSeq and is a predicted model, not a curated record.